CCAAUAGCGUAUAUUAAAGUUGUUGCAGUUAAAAAGCUCGUAGUUGAAUUUUGGGUUUGGCCGAUUGGUCCGUUCUUGUAGCGAGUACUGGUCGGUUGGGCCUCACCGCUUGGGGAAGGGUAAUGUCCUUUAUUGGGUGUUGCUCGGAGCCAAGACCUUUACCUUGAAAAAAUUAGAGUGUUUAAAGCAGGCUUAUGCCGGAAUACAUUAGCAUGGAAUAAUAGAAUAGGACAACGAUUCUAUUUUGUUGGUUUCUAGGACCGUUGUAAUGAUUAAUAGGGAUAGUUGGGUGCAUUAGUAUUCAAUUGUCAGAGGUGAAAUUCUUGGAUUUAUUGAAGACUAACUACUGCGAAAGCAUUUGCCAAGGAUGUUUUCAUUAAUCAAGAACGAAAGUUAGGGGAUCGAAGACGAUCAGAUACCGUCGUAGUCUUAACCAUAAACUAUGCCGACUAGGGAUCGGGCGAUGUUGUUUCAAUGACUCGCUCGGCACCUUAUG
This 496-nucleotide unclassified non-coding RNA is filed under the name uncultured Archaeospora. RNAcentral describes it as "SSU rRNA". It matches the Rfam family "Eukaryotic small subunit ribosomal RNA", at positions 591 to 1092 of the family's 1831-position model. The record is from RNAcentral. Lineage: Eukaryota; Fungi; Glomeromycota; Glomeromycetes; Archaeosporales; Archaeosporaceae.